UCCUUGUUCUGGACACUAAAUGGAGCCUUUUGGUCUGAAUAUUCAUGCCUUCUAUUCUGGAAACUAUUCCUGAAGUUUAUUUCUUUGACGAUUUCCUCUACCAUGUGGUUUGUUUCCUCUUUGAAGUUAUUGACUUCUGAUGGCUCUGCGAUGCUCACAUCGUCAUACCCAUCUCCCGGAUAAAGAAACGCUGGCUGCAAUGGCGCACGUAGCUCAGGACAAUACCUGGUCAGGAGCAAAGGGGUCCAGACUGGGUCUCAGUGCUCUGUCCACCAUGGUGUACACUGGACACUCAGGCGGUUUUCCUGGGUGACAAGGCUUCCUCAAGGCCACCUGCAGUUUCCAUGGAAUCAGAGGACUGAAGUGUCAAUGAACCUCCCUUGAUGUUCCCUUAAGACUCUAGGACCCUGCUGGGAGCCUUCCCCUGGCCCCCUUAUCCAGGGAGGAAACAUGAAGAAUACUUGCUAAGAAGGACUGUCUCUGGGACUUUUAUCUCCUGAUUUCAAACACAGUGGUUCUGCUAAGCUGCACUUUUUUUUUGUCGUGAAAAUGAUUU
This is a non-coding RNA of Microcebus murinus (gray mouse lemur), 556 nucleotides long. The record is from RefSeq and is a predicted model, not a curated record. NCBI's taxonomy places the organism in Eukaryota, Metazoa, Chordata, Mammalia, Primates, Cheirogaleidae.